AGCCGUGUCGCGCACAUCGGCGCAGGUCGCAGACUCGCGUGAUUCGCACUCGUAAUGCGUAGGUCGUCGGUUCGAUUCCGACAGGCGGCUCCCA
RNAcentral lists this transfer RNA (94 nucleotides) under Nocardioidaceae bacterium. Its description in RNAcentral is "tRNA-Thr". Lineage: Bacteria; Bacillati; Actinomycetota; Actinomycetes; Propionibacteriales; Nocardioidaceae. The record is from RNAcentral.